CUUGAAUCCUAUAAGAGGUCCAGCCUGCCCAGUGACUUUGUUCAACGGCCGCGGUAUCCUAACCGUGCGAAGGUAGCGUAAUCACUUGUUCUUUAAAUGAGGACUAGUAUGAAUGGCACCACGAAGGUUAUACUGUCUCCUUUCUUUAAUCAGUGAAACUAAUCUCCCCGUGAAGAAGCGGGGAUAAGCCUAUAAGACGAGAAGACCCUAUGGAGCUUUAAACAUAAGUAACAACUGCCCAUUAAAUUUUUUAAUCUCAGGAAAUUAAUCACAACACUUAGGCACUUUGAUUACAAGUUUUAGGUUGGGGUGACCGCGGAGCAAAAAAUAACCUCCGCAGUGAAUGGAACUUAUCUCCUAAACCCAGGGCUACGACCCUAAGAAUCAAUAAAUUGACACUGAUUGACCCAAUAUUUUUGAUCAAUGAAC
RNAcentral lists this ribosomal RNA (429 nucleotides) under Leptodactylus chaquensis group sp. ABGD cluster 7. RNAcentral describes it as "partial large subunit ribosomal RNA". It matches the Rfam family "Bacterial large subunit ribosomal RNA", at positions 1835 to 2457 of the family's 2925-position model. The record is from RNAcentral. Lineage: Eukaryota; Metazoa; Chordata; Amphibia; Anura; Leptodactylidae.